UCAGAGGAUGUGGACUGGUUCAUGAU
RNAcentral lists this non-coding RNA (26 nucleotides) under Homo sapiens (human). The record is from RNAcentral. Lineage: Eukaryota; Metazoa; Chordata; Mammalia; Primates; Hominidae.